This 465-nucleotide ribosomal RNA is filed under the name Vreelandella stevensii. RNAcentral describes it as "partial 16S ribosomal RNA". It matches the Rfam family "Bacterial small subunit ribosomal RNA", at positions 338 to 795 of the family's 1533-position model. Lineage: Bacteria; Pseudomonadati; Pseudomonadota; Gammaproteobacteria; Oceanospirillales; Halomonadaceae. The record is from RNAcentral.
CCUACGGGGGGCAGCAGUGGGGAAUAUUGGACAAUGGGCGAAAGCCUGAUCCAGCCAUGCCGCGUGUGUGAAGAAGGCCUUCGGGUUGUAAAGCACUUUCAGUGGGGAAGAAAGCCUUGGGGCUAAUACCCUCGAGGAAGGACAUCACCCACAGAAGAAGCACCGGCUAACUCCGUGCCAGCAGCCGCGGUAAUACGGAGGGUGCGAGCGUUAAUCGGAAUUACUGGGCGUAAAGCGCGCGUAGGCGGUCUGAUAAGCCGGUUGUGAAAGCCCCGGGCUCAACCUGGGAACGGCAUCCGGAACUGUCAGGCUAGAGUGCAGGAGAGGAAGGUAGAAUUCCCGGUGUAGCGGUGAAAUGCGUAGAGAUCGGGAGGAAUACCAGUGGCGAAGGCGGCCUUCUGGACUGACACUGACACUGAGGUGCGAAAGCGUGGGUAGCAAACAGGAUUAGAUACCCCAGUAGUC